GCCAGGCGCAGUGGUGCAUGCCUGUAAUCCCAGCAACUUGGGAGGCUGGGGCAGGAGGAUUGAAAGUUCACAGCCAGCCUCCGCAACUUGGCAAUAUCCUGUCUCAA
This 107-nucleotide small RNA is filed under the name Marmota monax (woodchuck). The record is from RNAcentral. Lineage: Eukaryota; Metazoa; Chordata; Mammalia; Rodentia; Sciuridae.